GGAGCAGUUGGUAGCUCAGUGGUUGAGUGCAUGCUUUGUGUGUAUGACGUCCGGUUCAAAUCCCAGCUGCUCCC
Dallia pectoralis (Alaska blackfish) is the source of this 74-nucleotide non-coding RNA. Lineage: Eukaryota; Metazoa; Chordata; Actinopteri; Esociformes; Umbridae. The record is from the annotation of a GenBank genome assembly.